GCCCACCUGCUCUAUGGAGGGAAUCCCCCUCCUAUUAUUUGUUUUGCCUGUUGAUUCAACCAUGCUGCUCCUCUGGUGGACAGAUUCAGCUUCAGCGAACAUUAUGGAGAAUCUUCUGUUACGUGGCAGGCCAUUUCACAUAAAUCUCUGCUUCUCAUAGGUGCUUCUUAAAGCCAUUCUAGCACAGAAGAGGACCAUUUCAUUAAGCCGAAGGAGGCGUUUGUUGGCUACUUUUGCAACAGGAGAUCCUGUUCGAGUGCACACUGAGCCAGCAGGUUCACCAGAAAGCUAUUGAGCACUUGCUGGAACACAUUAUGCAGGGUGAAUUUCUUCUGGAAUGUUGCCAAGGUUUUUUUUAUGCUUCUGUGGUAGGCAUUUCUUGAACAUUGUCAUUUAGCCAAGCAAAGAACAUUUGCUUAAAGGAUAGAAAAAUGUUUAAAAAUUAUUGUUUGUUUAAAAGCAGGUUAAAUAGCAAUAUGAUCUUAGGGAAGGGCAGAGAAAAGUGCUUAUUUCUUCAAGUGAUCUGAUUUGUUAUUUAAAAUUUUUUUGCUUUAAACAGAUCCAUAGCUUUUCCUAAAAUAAUUUUAUAUUAAUUUUGUCCUUUAGAAAGUAUCUUCCUGUGCCUACUUUUCUUUGAUGUGAUUGGCUGUUUUUCAAAGCUGAAUUUUCAUGUAAGAGAUUUCUCACAUGUUUGUUUUUACAGCAGCUACUAGUAGUAAUAGCUAAGAAACUUUGGAGGUGCAGAGAACAUGCUAAAAUAGAAUUUCUUUUUUCAUUUUCAAUUCCAGAGCUGUGCCAUAAAAAAUAAAAAAGGAAAACAUGAAAAUAUCUUUAAAGCAGAUAAUAUUUUUAAAAGUGCUGCAAAUUUGAUUAUAAAUUCCAAGUUCAAAUUUUGACACAUAAAAAAUACACAAAAUACAUAAAGUCUCCCCAGAAAUUAUUCUCUAAUGAAUAGUAAAAUCUGAUCCUAAACCACCUCACUUUAACAAUGUUUCCCUUUGUACUAAGUUCUCACCAUAAUCUCAUAAUCUCAUUCUCUGUAAUACCAGUGAUAUAAAAAGGCUCUCUCUGAAUGUGUCAAGGAAAAAAUCCUAAUUAUAAGAAUUAGGCAGCUCUGCCAUUCACCAGCUGUGUGAUUUGGGGGAAGUUGCUCAACUUCUCUGAGCUUCCGUGUCCUCAUUUGUAAAAUAGUAAUAAUACUUAACUCCCUGGGCUGCUGUGAGGACUAGACACGUCUGUAAGGAAUCUCAACAGUGCCUCGCACAUUAUAAAGGCUUAAAAAAAACAUUUUAGUUCUGGGCGGCUGGUUGCCUCAGUUGGUUAGAGCACAGUGCUCGUAACACCAAGGUCACC
Rhinolophus ferrumequinum (greater horseshoe bat) is the source of this 1353-nucleotide long non-coding RNA. RefSeq lists it as uncharacterized. The record is from RefSeq and is a predicted model, not a curated record. Lineage: Eukaryota; Metazoa; Chordata; Mammalia; Chiroptera; Rhinolophidae. The transcript is spliced from 3 exons.